This 74-nucleotide transfer RNA is filed under the name Seculamonas ecuadoriensis. Its description in RNAcentral is "tRNA-Ile". It matches the Rfam family "tRNA". From Rfam's summary of the family: Transfer RNA (tRNA) molecules are approximately 80 nucleotides in length. Their secondary structure includes four short double-helical elements and three loops (D, anti-codon, and T loops). Further hydrogen bonds mediate the characteristic L-shaped molecular structure. tRNAs have two regions of fundamental functional importance: the anti-codon, which is responsible for specific mRNA codon recognition, and the 3' end, to which the tRNAs corresponding amino acid is attached (by aminoacyl-tRNA synthetases). tRNAs cope with the degeneracy of the genetic code in two manners: having more than one tRNA (with a specific anti-codon) for a particular amino acid; and 'wobble' base-pairing, i.e. permitting non-standard base-pairing at the 3rd anti-codon position. The record is from RNAcentral. Lineage: Eukaryota; Jakobea; Jakobida; Moramonadidae.
GAGCUCAUAGUUUAGUUGGUUAAAACGUACCGCUCAUAACGGUAUUAUCGUAGGUUCAAGCCCUACUGAGCUCA